AGAGGGGUGCGAGCGUUAAUCGGGAAUUACUGGGCGUAAAGGGUGCGUAGGUGGUCAUCCAAGUCAGAUGUGAAAUCCCAAGGCUCAACCUUGGAAUUGCAUUUGAAACUGGUUGACUAGAGUAUGGUAGAGGGAAGUGGAAUUUCCGGUGUAGCGGUGAAAUGCGUAGAUAUCGGAAGGAACACCAGUGGCGAAGGCGGCUUCCUGGACCGAAACUGACACUGAGGCACGAAAGCGUGGGGAGCAAACAGGAUUAGAUACCCUGGUAGUCCACGCUGUAAACGAUGAGAACUAGAUGUUAGGGUGCUUGGCACCUUGGUAUCGCAGCUAACGCAUUAAGUUCUCCGCCUGGGGAGUACGGCCGCAAGGUUA
RNAcentral lists this ribosomal RNA (372 nucleotides) under uncultured organism. Its description in RNAcentral is "partial 16S ribosomal RNA". It matches the Rfam family "Bacterial small subunit ribosomal RNA", at positions 526 to 896 of the family's 1533-position model. The record is from RNAcentral.